This 622-nucleotide unclassified non-coding RNA is filed under the name Neodiprion pinetum (white pine sawfly). RNAcentral describes it as "putative riboflavin kinase, transcript variant X3". Lineage: Eukaryota; Metazoa; Arthropoda; Insecta; Hymenoptera; Diprionidae. The record is from RNAcentral.
GGCGUUGCGCGGCGUUCGCCGAGCUUGAAGUGGCUUGAAGUCAGAUAUUUGCGUAACCUGAAAACGUAGCUAAGCACAAUAAGUAUUGUUUGAUAAUGCUAUUGUGUAUUCGUGACGAUGUAUUUUCUUAAUCGCUUACAGAUCGGCUCUUUGUUGAAUGCUGCGCGUACUUCUGCGCUCUCAUUUCAAAGAGCAUUCGAGAGCAGUCGCAUCAGUCGGACUAAGAUGUCUAGCACCGGCCUGCCACAUUUCUCCGUCGGAAAGAUAGUCAAGGGGUUUGGACGCGGAUCCAAGGAACUGGGCAUUCCGACUGCAAAUUUCCCAACCGAAGUUGUACAGAAUCUACCCCCCGAGAUCGGUACUGGUAUUUAUUAUGGAUGGGCAUCCGUCGACAGAGGGGAUGUACAUAAGAUGGUAAUGAGCAUAGGGUGGAACCCAUUUUUCCAAAAUACUCAGAAGUCGAUGAUGUUUUUUGCCAGGAAACGCACAUAAUCCAUAAAUAUCCUGGGGAUUUGUAUGGAUUGGAGUUGCGGGUUGUGAUACUCGGGUUUUUGAGGCCUGAAGCAGACUUUACUUCCAUCGAGGAUCUUAUAGCUGAAAUAAAAGGAGAUAUCGAAAAUGC